UGCUUGGAUUUAAUGGUACAGCACGUCGGC
This 30-nucleotide non-coding RNA is filed under the name Mus musculus (house mouse). Lineage: Eukaryota; Metazoa; Chordata; Mammalia; Rodentia; Muridae. The record is from RNAcentral.